GCUGGGCAUGAUAGCUCGUGCCUGUAGUCCUAGCUACUCAGGAGGCUGAGGUGGAAGGAUUGCUUGAGCCCAGGGGGUUGAGGCUGCAGUGAGCCAUGAUCAUGCCACUGCACUUCUGCCUGGGCAAUACAGCGAGACCCUGUCUCAA
This is an unclassified non-coding RNA of Macaca mulatta (Rhesus monkey), 148 nucleotides long. It matches the Rfam family "Metazoan signal recognition particle RNA". Rfam says of the family: The signal recognition particle (SRP) is a universally conserved ribonucleoprotein. It is involved in the co-translational targeting of proteins to membranes. Lineage: Eukaryota; Metazoa; Chordata; Mammalia; Primates; Cercopithecidae. The record is from Ensembl.